RNAcentral lists this ribosomal RNA (520 nucleotides) under uncultured bacterium. RNAcentral's name for it is "bacterial SSU rRNA". It matches the Rfam family "Bacterial small subunit ribosomal RNA", at positions 120 to 674 of the family's 1533-position model. The record is from RNAcentral.
GGGAAUCUGCCCUUUGGUUCGGAAUAACAGUUGGAAACGACUGCUAAUACCGGAUGAUGACGAAAGUCCAAAGAUUUAUCGCCAGAGGAUGAGCCCGCGUAGGAUUAGCUAGUUGGUGUGGUAAAGGCGCACCAAGGCGACGAUCCUUAGCUGGUCUGAGAGGAUGAUCAGCCACACUGGGACUGAGACACGGCCCAGACUCCUACGGGAGGCAGCAGUGGGGAAUACUGGACAAUGGGCGAAAGCCUGAUCCAGCAAUGCCGCGUGAGUGAUGAAGGCCUUAGGGUUGUAAAGCUCUUUUACCCGGGAUGAUAAUGACAGUACCGGGAGAAUAAGCUCCGGCUAACUCCGUGCCAGCAGCCGCGGUAAUACGGAGGGAGCUAGCGUUGUUCGGAAUUACUGGGCGUAAAGCGCACGUAGGCGGCUUUGUAAGUUAGAGGUGAAAGCCUGGAGCUCAACUCCAGAACUGCCUUUAAGACUGCAUCGCUUGAAUCCAGGAGAGGUGAGUGGAAUUCCGAGU